UUCAAAUGCUAGAGUCCCCGAUUCUGACCUUUUCAUAAAGAAAACAAACAAAAAUUAGAAUUUUUCACCAAUUCCUGGCAACGGCGCCAAAAUUUAGUGGGCGUCGAAACCACCAAAUAUAAAUUCCUACGAAAAAAUAAUAGUAAAUGACAAUAUAGAAUAGUAGGGUCGAAUCCACAGGGACUGGUUAUCUAAUUUUACCUUUUCUUGUGACCAGAUUCGCUAUCACGGUCACAGUUGUGC
This 243-nucleotide long non-coding RNA is filed under the name Gossypium barbadense (sea-island cotton). Its description in RNAcentral is "long non-coding RNA (GBAR_LNC020855)". Lineage: Eukaryota; Viridiplantae; Streptophyta; Magnoliopsida; Malvales; Malvaceae. The record is from RNAcentral.